CCCGCGACAAGCGGUGAGCAUGUGGUUUAAUUCGAUGCAACGCGAAGAACCUUACCUGGGCUUGACAUCCCGGGAAUCCCUUGGAACAAGGGAGUGCCUUCGGGGAACCUGGAGACAGGUGGUGCAUGGUUGUCGUCAGCUCGUGUCGUGAGAUGUUGGGUUAAGUCCCGCAACGAGCCGCAACCCCUAUUGUUAGUUGCCAUCAUUCAGUUGGGCACUCUAGCGAGACUGCCGGUAAUAAACCGGAGGAAGGUGGGGAUGACGUCAAAUCAUCAUGCCCCUUAUGACCUGGGCUACACACGUGCUACAAUGGUUGGCACAACGAGUUGCGAGUCGGUGACGGCGAGCUAAUCUCUUAAAGCCAAUCUCAGUUCGGAUUGUAGGCUGCAACUCGCCUACAUGAAGUCGGAAUCGCUAGUAAUCGCGGAUCAGCACGCCGCGGUGAAUACGUUCCCGGGCCUU
This 462-nucleotide ribosomal RNA is filed under the name uncultured Smithella sp. Its description in RNAcentral is "bacterial SSU rRNA". It matches the Rfam family "Bacterial small subunit ribosomal RNA", at positions 920 to 1382 of the family's 1533-position model. The record is from RNAcentral. Lineage: Bacteria; Pseudomonadati; Thermodesulfobacteriota; Syntrophia; Syntrophales; Smithellaceae.